This 467-nucleotide ribosomal RNA is filed under the name uncultured bacterium. Its description in RNAcentral is "partial 16S ribosomal RNA". It matches the Rfam family "Bacterial small subunit ribosomal RNA", at positions 28 to 507 of the family's 1533-position model. The record is from RNAcentral.
GAUGAACGCUGGCGGCGCGCCUAACACAUGCAAGUCGAACGAUUAAAGCACCUUCGGGUGUGUAUAAAGUGGCGAACGGCUGAGUAACACGUGGGCAACCUGCCCCCCUCAUUGGGAUAGCCACGGGAAACCGUGGAUAAUACCGAAUACUUCGGGACUUCCGCAUGGAAGACUCGAGAAAGCUCCGGCGGAGAGGGAUGGGCCCGCGGCCUGUUAGCUUGUUGGUGGGGUAAUGGCCUACCAAGGCAAUGAUGGGUAGCUGGGUUGAGAGACCGACCAGCCAGAUUGGGACUGAGACACGGCCCAGACUCCUACGGGAGGCAGCAGUGGGGAAUCUUGCACAAUGGGAGAAAGCCUGAUGCAGAGACGCCGCGUGCGGGAUGAAGGCCUUCGGGUUGUAAACCGCUUUCAGCAGGGACGAGGCGAAAGUGACGGUACCUGCAGAAGAAGCCCCGGCUAACUACGUG